This 73-nucleotide transfer RNA is filed under the name Schistocephalus solidus. It matches the Rfam family "tRNA". From Rfam's summary of the family: Transfer RNA (tRNA) molecules are approximately 80 nucleotides in length. Their secondary structure includes four short double-helical elements and three loops (D, anti-codon, and T loops). Lineage: Eukaryota; Metazoa; Platyhelminthes; Cestoda; Diphyllobothriidea; Diphyllobothriidae. The record is from Rfam by way of RNAcentral.
GCCUCUGUAGCUCAGUGGUUAGAGCACUGGUCUAGUAAACCUGGGGUCGAGAGUUCUAUUCUCUCCGGAGACA